UCGGGUGAAAAUACUCGUAUGCGUAAGUUGAAUUUAUUGUAUGAUAUGUAACACUAUCUACUUUACCCAUGGACCAGACAGGGUUCCCUAGUGUUAAAAUAAAUUAUUUUAGUUAAGGCAAUUUUUGGUCUAUAAUGUUUUCAAAAAUGCAUUGAAACUUAGUAAACUUCUCAAAUUAAAGCAUUUUGAACUUUGCAUGAUUUCCGGAAUAUAUGCACCGGUGCAGAGAAACUUUGAACCGGUACAUAGCUAAUGAACUGUAAAUCCAUAUCUUUUCAGUUUUAUUCACUACUAGAAAAAAGACUUUUGGAUAAGGGAUUCCACUACUGAUAUGUGAAUACCAGUAGUGAAACACAAUUGACCAAAGGAUUCCACUACGGAUAUUUGAAUACCAGUAGUGAAAAGUUUAUAGACAAGGGAUUUCACUACUGGUUUUCUUAAAUCAGUAGUGAAAAGUAGACACGGUGGCAAUGUUGUAAUUACGUUGAAAUUUAUUUUAAUUGGAUUUCACUACUAAUUUGGUUUUCCACGGUAGUUAAAUCCCUUAACUUAGAAUGUAUACGCGCAAUGUUCAUUUGUUCCUUCAAUUCAUUCCCAAAAUGUAUACGCUCGCGCAGUCGUCUUCUUCGUCAUUCCCACAAAUCCCAAAUCCCUAAAUCGUUAAAUCCCUAAAUCGUUAGUUGCUAUGAUUAUUAAAUCCCAAAUCCCUAAUUCUCUUUGAAAUCCCUAAAUCCCAAAUUCCUAAAUCGUUUUCAUUCUUCUUCACAGCAAACACAUAAAAUUCUUCAUUCUUCUCUUUGAAACCCUAAAUCCCUAAAUCGUCUUCUUCUCUUUGAAACCCCAAACCAUGUUCUUCAUUCUUCGUGUUCUGGAAGCGUGUUUUUCAUUCGUCGUGUUCUCAGGUACUUGUUUUUUCUCAUUAUGUGCUACUGAGUGUAUAAGACUCUAUGAACCUUUCAAGAAUGUUUCUUCUGUUAACGAACCGUUUGUUAUUUCUAAUCUUCCUGGUGAGAUUAAAAUCACGAGGUCGCAGAUACCUCCUUUUGAGAGUUUGAAGGAAAUUAAAGGAAUGGGAGGGUCGAAGAUUGACACGAAGGGAAAAACUAACAAGUCUACUAAAGAGGUCUUGGAUGAUCCCAUUCUUAUGAGAAAUAUGCAUGGGGCCAAGAUGAACUUCAGCCACAAUCAAAGAGUGUGUCAAUAGCUUUGGAGGUCUUGGAGAAACUUUAAUCGAUUCUCUGGAUAUUCUAUACAUUAUGGGCCUCGAUGAACAGUUUCAGAAAGCCCGAGAUUAUGUACACUCUUGUCAAUAUUCUAGAUAAAUCGAUAUGAGACGCGCGUUAUAAAUUC
Trifolium pratense (red clover) is the source of this 1350-nucleotide long non-coding RNA. RefSeq lists it as uncharacterized. The record is from RefSeq and is a predicted model, not a curated record. Lineage: Eukaryota; Viridiplantae; Streptophyta; Magnoliopsida; Fabales; Fabaceae. The transcript is spliced from 3 exons.